This 80-nucleotide transfer RNA is filed under the name Trichosporon ovoides. RNAcentral describes it as "tRNA-Phe". RNAcentral also lists the same sequence under 2 other names. The record is from RNAcentral. Lineage: Eukaryota; Fungi; Basidiomycota; Tremellomycetes; Trichosporonales; Trichosporonaceae.
GGGAUGAUAGCUCAGUUGGGAGAGCGCGAGAGUGAAGCCUUCAGUUCUUGAGGUCGGGCGUUCGAUCCGCCCUCGUCCCA